CGGGUGAGUAACACGUGGAUAACCUACCUAUAAGACUGGGAUAACUUCGGGAAACCGGAGCUAAUACCGGAUAAUAUUUUGAACCGCAUGGUUCAAAAGUGAAAGACGGUCUUGCUGUCACUUAUAGAUGGAUCCGCGCUGCAUUAGCUAGUUGGUAAGGUAACGGCUUACCAAGGCAACGAUGCAUAGCCGACCUGAGAGGGUGAUCGGCCACACUGGAACUGAGACACGGUCCAGACUCCUACGGGAGGCAGCAGUAGGGAAUCUUCCGCAAUGGGCGAAAGCCUGACGGAGCAACGCCGCGUGAGUGAUGAAGGUCUUCGGAUCGUAAAACUCUGUUAUUAGGGAAGAACAUAUGUGUAAGUAACUGUGCACAUCUUGACGGUACCUAAUCAGAAAGCCACGGCUAACUACGUGCCAGCAGCCGCGGUAAUACGUAGGUGGCAAGCGUUAUCCGGAAUUAUUGGGCGUAAAGCGCGCGUAGGCGGUUUUUUAAGUCUGAUGUGAAAGCCCACGGCUCAACCGUGGAGGGUCAUUGGAAACUGGAAAACUUGAGUGCAGAAGAGGAAAGUGGAAUUCCAUGUGUAGCGGUGAAAUGCGCAGAGAUAUGGAGGAACACCAGUGGCGAAGGCGACUUUCUGGUCUGUAACUGACGCUGAUGUGCGAAAGCGUGGGGAUCAAACAGGAUUAGAUACCCUGGUAGUCCACGCCGUAAACGAUGAGUGCUAAGUGUUAGGGGGUUUCCGCCCCUUAGUGCUGCAGCUAACGCAUUAAGCACUCCGCCUGGGGAGUACGACCGCAAGGUUGAAACUCAAAGGAAUUGACGGGGACCCGCACAAGCGGUGGAGCAUGUGGUUUAAUUCGAAGCAACGCGAAGAACCUUACCAAAUCUUGACAUCCUUUGACAACUCUAGAGAUAGAGCCUUCCCCUUCGGGGGACAAAGUGACAGGUGGUGCAUGGUUGUCGUCAGCUCGUGUCGUGAGAUGUUGGGUUAAGUCCCGCAACGAGCGCAACCCUUAAGCUUAGUUGCCAU
RNAcentral lists this ribosomal RNA (1034 nucleotides) under Staphylococcus aureus. Its description in RNAcentral is "bacterial SSU rRNA". It matches the Rfam family "Bacterial small subunit ribosomal RNA", at positions 103 to 1121 of the family's 1533-position model. The record is from RNAcentral. Lineage: Bacteria; Bacillati; Bacillota; Bacilli; Caryophanales; Staphylococcaceae.